GAUGAACGCUGGCGGCGUGCCUAAUACAUGCAAGUCGAGCGAACAGACGAGGAGCUUGCUCCUCUGACGUUAGCGGCGGACGGGUGAGUAACACGUGGAUAACCUACCUAUAAGACUGGGAUAACUUCGGGAAACCGGAGCUAAUACCGGAUAAUAUAUUGAACCGCAUGGUUCAAUAGUGAAAGACGGUUUUGCUGUCACUUAUAGAUGGAUCCGCGCCGCAUUAGCUAGUUGGUAAGGUAACGGCUUACCAAGGCAACGAUGCGUAGCCGACCUGAGAGGGUGGUCGGCCACACUGGAACUGAGACACGGUCCAGACUCCUACGGGAGGCAGCAGUAGGGAAUCUUCCGCGAUGGGCGAAAGCCUGACAGAGCAACGCCGCGUGAGUGAUGAAGGUCUUCGGAUCGUAAAACUCUGUUAUUAGGGAAGAACAAAUGUGUAAGUAACUAUGCACGUCUUGACGGUACCUGAUCAGAAAGCCACGGCUAACUACGUG
Molecule: ribosomal RNA, 497 nt
Filed under: uncultured bacterium
Lineage: Bacteria
Description: partial 16S ribosomal RNA
Rfam family: Bacterial small subunit ribosomal RNA
Source: RNAcentral